GGAAUAUUGCACAAUGGGGGAAACCCUGAUGCAGCAACGCCGCGUGAGUGAUGACGGUCUUCGGAUUGUAAAGCUCUGUCUUUAGGGACGAUAAUGACGGCACCUAAGGAGGAAGCCACGGCUAACUACGUGCCAGCAGCCGCGGUAAUACGUAGGUGGCAAGCGUUGUCCGGAUUUACUGGGCGUAAAGGGAGCGUAGGUGGAUAUUUAAGUGGGAUGUGAAAUACCCGGGCUUAACCUGGGUGCUGCAUUCCAAACUGGAUAUCUAGAGUGCAGGAGAGGAAAGGAGAAUUCCUAGUGUAGCGGUGAAAUGCGUAGAGAUUAGGAAGAAUACCAGUGGCGAAGGCGCCUUUCUGGUCUGUAACUGACGCUGAGGAGCGAAAGCGUGGGGAGC
RNAcentral lists this ribosomal RNA (394 nucleotides) under uncultured bacterium. Its description in RNAcentral is "bacterial SSU rRNA". It matches the Rfam family "Bacterial small subunit ribosomal RNA", at positions 358 to 769 of the family's 1533-position model. The record is from RNAcentral.